This 709-nucleotide ribosomal RNA is filed under the name uncultured Bacteroidota bacterium. RNAcentral's name for it is "bacterial SSU rRNA". It matches the Rfam family "Bacterial small subunit ribosomal RNA", at positions 199 to 911 of the family's 1533-position model. Lineage: Bacteria; Pseudomonadati; Bacteroidota. The record is from RNAcentral.
UUUUAAAGCUUUGGUGGAUACGGAUUGGCUCGCGUGACAUUAGCUAGAUGGUAAGGUAACGGCUUACCAUGGCUACGAUGUCUAGGGGUUCUGAGAGGAAGGUCCCCCACACUGGAACUGAGACACGGUCCAGACUCCUACGGGAGGCAGCAGUGAGGAAUAUUGGACAAUGGAUGGAAAUCUGAUCCAGCCAUGCCGCGUGCAGGAAGACGGCCCUAUGGGUUGUAAACUGCUUUUGUAUGGGAGCAAUAAGGGCUACGUGUAGUCCGAUGAGAGUACCAUACGAAUAAGCACCGGCUAACUCCGUGCCAGCAGCCGCGGUAAUACGGAGGGUGCAAGCGUUAUCCGGAUUUAUUGGGUUUAAAGGGUGCGUAGGCGGUUUGAUAAGUCAGCGGUGAAAUAUUUCAGCUUAACUGGAAGGGUGCCGUUGAUACUGUCGAGCUUGAAUUUAGUUGCUGUGGGUGGAAUGUGUGGUGUAGCGGUGAAAUGCAUAGAUAUCACACAGAAUAUCGAUUGCGAAGGCAGCUCACAAAGCUAAUAUUGACGCUGAUGCACGAAAGUGUGGGGAUCAAACAGGAUUAGAUACCCUGGUAGUCCACACUGUAAACGAUGAUAACUCGCUGUCGGCGAUACAUAGUCGGUGGCCAAGCGAAAGCGAUAAGUUAUCCACCUGGGGAGUACGACCGCAAGGUUGAAACUCAAAGGAAUU